GACGAACGCUGGCGGCGUGCUUAACACAUGCAAGUCGAACGGUGAAGCGCCUUCCUUUUUGGUGGGUGUGGAUGAGUGGCGAACGGGUGAGUAACACGUGAGUAACCUGCCCCCUUCUUCUGGAUAACCGCAUGAAAGUGUGGCUAAUACGGGAUAUUCUGGGUCUGUCGCAUGAUGGGUCUGGGAAAGAUAUUGUUUCGGUGGGGGAUGGGCUCGCGGCCUAUCAGCUUGUUGGUGGGGUGAUGGCCUACCAAGGCGGUGCCGGGUGGCCGGCCUGAGAGGGUGAGCGGCAAUGGAGGGGAUGCGCGGCGGAGCAGACUACGACGGGCGGCAGUGGUGAAGAUUAGAGCACGGGGGGAGGACGGCUGAAGCAGCGACGCCUGGUGGGAGAUGGUCGCCGGCGUGUUGAGAACCUCUUUCGGGGGUGAAGGGGGGCUGGCUCGUAUGUGGGUGGGUUGACGGUAGCUAGAUAAGAAGCGCCGGCUAACUACGUG
RNAcentral lists this ribosomal RNA (494 nucleotides) under uncultured bacterium. RNAcentral's name for it is "partial 16S ribosomal RNA". It matches the Rfam family "Bacterial small subunit ribosomal RNA", at positions 28 to 507 of the family's 1533-position model. The record is from RNAcentral.